RNAcentral lists this transfer RNA (72 nucleotides) under Cordylochernes scorpioides. Its description in RNAcentral is "tRNA-Gly". Lineage: Eukaryota; Metazoa; Arthropoda; Arachnida; Pseudoscorpiones; Chernetidae. The record is from RNAcentral.
AGCAUCGGCCGGGAAUCGAACCCGGGCCGCCCGGGUGGCAGGCGAGCAUUCUAUCACUGAACCACCGAUAGU